UGUUAGCAAGGGCCGGGUAAGACCGGUGCCAGCCGCCGCGGUAAUACCGGCGGCUCGAGUGGUGGCCGAUAUUAUUGAGUCUAAAGGGUCCGUAGCCGGCUUUGCAAGUCCCCUGGGAAAUCCAGCGGCUUAACCGUUGGGCUUCCAUGGGAUACUACAUUGCUUGGGACUGGGAGAGGUAGGAGGUACUCGGGGGGUAGGGGUGAAAUCCUGUAAUCCUCCGGGGACCACCGGUGGCGAAGGCGUCCUACCAGAACAGGUCCGACGGUGAGGGACGAAAGCUAGGGGCACGAACCGGAUUAGAUACCCGGGUAGUCCUAGCCGUAAACGAUGCCCGCUAGGUGUCACGACGGUCGUGAAUCGUCGUGGUGCCGUAGGGAAGCCGCGAAGCGGGCCACUUGGGAAGUACGACCGCAAGGUUGAAACUUAAAGGAAUUGGCGGGGGAGCACCACAGCGGGUGGAGCCUGCGGUUUAAUUGGAUUCAACGCCGGGAAGCUUACCGGGAUCGACAGUUGUAUGAAGGCCAGGCUGAAGACCUUGCCGGACUAGCUGAGAGGAGGUGCAUGGCC
This 570-nucleotide ribosomal RNA is filed under the name uncultured archaeon. RNAcentral's name for it is "bacterial SSU rRNA". It matches the Rfam family "Archaeal small subunit ribosomal RNA", at positions 430 to 999 of the family's 1478-position model. The record is from RNAcentral.